UUGAAUGAUCAGCUCCUUUGACAUUCUGUAGAUCAGAUUCGCGACGUUUUCUAUACAAAUGCAUUUGAUGUUACGGUGAAACGACAUUAGUAGCCGCUAACGGUAGCUACUGGAGCGCAGCUAAUAAGUUGACAAAAAGAUAUUCGCGUAUGGGAUGCAGCUGACUUCAUCCAUCUUUUUUAGUAUUUGAAGUCGUCAGAUACCUAAAGGGGCAUCUGGCAGCGAGGGUCCAUAAGGGACUACUACCCCAGCAGUCCGUCAGACUUUGCAAAAGACGAAGUGUUUUCCGAAUAGUUUUAUGAAAUAGCUGUUUUUAUUUACCUUAAACCGUCAUAUUUCCUGUGAAAGUAUACCAGACCGUUUCGUUGCUUUUAGUACAACAUCGUCUUGACUGUGAGACCUAUAAUUUCGUGUGUUCGGCUUUCCGACCCGGCAACCUUGGCCGAAAAUAAUUUGAAGUCCAAAUGAACAAGGUAAAAAGGGUUUGACAGCAUGGCCACUCGGGAAGCGACGCCUUUGGAUCGAGCCUUGAUCCUUAAAUGGCGCAGAUACUACCGCCGGAAAGCCGAAGCAUCUCAGCGAGAGAAAGCAUAUAAACGUGCACGUCAGCCAAAAUCCUGGUCGAUGAUGAAGCGAAUGGUGAUAGCAUUUGUAAUUUGUUGUACUGUGCUCGCGAUUUCGACCGUCGCUAUCGUGCAGGCUCGCCAAAGACUCAUAGAAGGACUGAAGAUAGAUCCUAUGGGUGCAAUCGACCCGUUUUAACUUAUGAGCUUCCUUUACGUACCCCGCUUCGGCUACCCAAAUCGGCCUGUUCUGUCGUCCUGCUAUUCAGGCUACAAGGGCUUGAAUGAAAGCGAAGCAUGACAAAUAUAAGACGUGGGAUACGAUCGCCAAACGUGUCGUUCUACUAACGUUGUCCAAAGCUGUAGCUGGAAAAGUAUCAAUCAAAGCAGCUGCGAAAUCCAAAGCUGGAUGUUUUCCUACGCAUGCAGCAGUAGAGAAUUGGAAACGGCUUCGAAGCUAACACGAGUAAUUAAUAACACUCGACGAGACCUGUGUGUUUCGAAGGUGAGUUCCGGUAUUUUUCGAAAUAGAUGUGUGCAGAAAGACAGAGAAAUUAAUACUUUUCAAAUAGCUUCCUUGAGCAGGAACACCUUUGCAUAAUGCUACAAUUAGAGUACUAGCUGAGAUAGGCCAUGUCGUGGCGGAACUGUUCUACGGUUUCUCUGUGUGGGUCUCACGUUUGUUGCAGCGAGUCAUACAGGAUCACGAUCCUAAUAUGCACCUAUACGUUGUAGGUCUGCGAAGAAUACAAAAAGCUUAACGUCGCUGGAAAAGAUACAUUACUGAUGAUAAUAAGGUACAAUACAAAAUAUCAAAUGGUUUAACCUUCGAUUUAUGAUCUACUCAUUUGGGCGUAAAUACCAUUGCACAGUGAAGGAGAGCCUCUGCUUGACUAGUAUAAUGAACCAUUAUUUGUGCAACUGGUACAAAAUAACGAAUUAAAGAUGGUAAAUUUUACCAUCCCGAAUCUUAGUUACAAUUCUGAACUAGGAGCAUUAAAGUGCCAUGACUUUAACGAGCGUACAUCUAUUACUACCUACCCAUAGAGAUUUUGCUACUAGUUAACCAAAUAAGCCAAAUGGCGUUGUCAGGGAAAUUAAGAUCUUCAUAUCAUCAGCACGAAUCUGUGUAAGCCUAUUGCGAAAUUUUACUUCGUGCAACUCACAUUGUUAAUUUAUUUUUUUCACCGCCAACUGUCGAAACUCUUACUGUGACUCAAAUUGAACUUCUAUAUGCGGUUUACAACAAGUAACCGCAGAAUUCAGAUAAAUAGAGUUACUUAUGAUCAUGUUUGAUCCAAAGAAUGAUUAGGGUCUAAAACCACGCUAGAAGCCAAUUGACGACCGUCUUACAAGUGAUCUUAAAGCUCGUCGUAGUUAGUUAAGAAGAACAAGAGAGGAUCGCGCCUUAUGCCUGCCGAAAAUGACCGAGAGUUACACCAGAAGUUUACCUGUGAACUUACAUCUCCUGACGUUCUUUGUCUAACGUCGA
This is a long non-coding RNA of Varroa destructor (honeybee mite), 2055 nucleotides long. NCBI's taxonomy places the organism in Eukaryota, Metazoa, Arthropoda, Arachnida, Mesostigmata, Varroidae. The record is from RefSeq and is a predicted model, not a curated record.